Molecule: ribosomal RNA, 253 nt
Filed under: uncultured bacterium
Lineage: Bacteria
Description: partial 16S ribosomal RNA
Rfam family: Bacterial small subunit ribosomal RNA
Source: RNAcentral
UACAGAGGGGGCAAGCGUUGUUCGGAAUUACUGGGCGUAAAGGGCGCGUAGGCGGCCUUCUAAGUCGAACGUGAAAUCCCCGGGCUCAACCCGGGAACUGCGUCCGAUACUGGAAGGCUAGAAUCCGGGAGAGGGAUGCGGAAUUCCAGGUGUAGCGGUGAAAUGCGUAGAUAUCUGGAGGAAUACCGGUGGCGAAGGCGGCAUCCUGGACCGAUAUUGACGCUGAGGAGCGAAAGCCAGGGGAGCAAACGGG